Molecule: ribosomal RNA, 431 nt
Filed under: uncultured eukaryote
Lineage: Eukaryota
Description: bacterial SSU rRNA
Rfam family: Eukaryotic small subunit ribosomal RNA
Source: RNAcentral
CACCAGGUCAGGACACGGUAAGGAUUGACGGACUGAAGGCUUCUUUCUCGAUUCCGUGGAAAGUGGUGCAUGGCCGUUUUUGGUUGGUGGAUCGAUCCGUCUGGUUAAUUCCGUUAACGAACGAGACCUCGGCACUCCGAAUAGCGCGGCGGACGUCGCGGCCUCCGGGCCGUCUUCCGCACGAGCUUCUUAGAGGGGACCGUCCCCCGCCGGGGAAGGAGGUGCGAGGCAACGACAGGUCUGUGAUGCCCUUAGAUGUUCUGGGCCGCACGCGCAUUACACUGACGCGUCCAACGGGUGACUCCCGACCCGAAGGGGCCGGGGAAUCCGCAAGGCGCGUCGUGAUGGGGAUUGAACGUUGCAAUUGUUGUUCACGAACGAGGAAUUCCUAGUAGGCGCGGGUCAUCAACCCGCGCCGAUUACGUCCCUGC